This is a long non-coding RNA of Silurus meridionalis, 323 nucleotides long. RefSeq lists it as uncharacterized. Lineage: Eukaryota; Metazoa; Chordata; Actinopteri; Siluriformes; Siluridae. The transcript has 4 exons. The record is from RefSeq and is a predicted model, not a curated record.
GAUGAAGAUGAUGAAGAUGACAAUGAAGAGACCACAUCUGCUGUGACAGAAGUGGACAAUGCUGGUAGAUCCACUGAGUACAUACCCAGGGAUUUGCCCACAGAUGAGGGUCCUUCAACCUCAGCACACAAUCUAAGCAGGUUGCCAGCAAAGAAGCUGUAUAAGGUCCAUCUUCAAAAACAAAUAAGAAUAAGUGACAUGUAGAUGGACCUUCUACAGCUUCAAAUGGAAGAGAAAAGACUCCUCAUUAAAAAAGCAGCAUUGGAAAUUGAAUUACUGGAGCAUCGCCUUAAGGAAAUAAAGAAAUACACUGCCUGGCAGAC